GACGAACGCUGGCGGCGUGCUUAACACAUGCAAGUCGAACGAUGAAGAAGAGCUUGCUCUUCGGAUUAGUGGCGAACGGGUGAGUAACACGUGACUAACCUGCCCCUUUCUCUGGGAUAACGCUCCGAAAGGAGUGCUAAUACCGGAUACUCACAUCGAGGCACAUGCCUUGAUGUGGAAAGUUUUUCGGAAAGGGAUGGAGUCGCGGCCUAUCAGCUUGUUGGUGAGGUAACGGCACACCAAGGCGACGACGGGUAGCCGGCCUGGGAGGGCGACCGGCCACACGGGGACUGAGACACGGCCCAGACUCCUACGGGAGGCAGCAGUGGAGAAUGUUGCACAAUGGGCGAAAGCCUGAUGCAGCGACGCCGCGUGAGGGAUGAAGGUCUUCGGAUUGUAAACCACUUUCAGUAGGGACGAAGCGAAAGUGACGGUACCUAAAGAAGAAGCACCGGCUAACUACGUGCCAGCCGCCGCGGUAA
This 482-nucleotide ribosomal RNA is filed under the name uncultured bacterium. RNAcentral's name for it is "partial 16S ribosomal RNA". It matches the Rfam family "Bacterial small subunit ribosomal RNA", at positions 28 to 523 of the family's 1533-position model. The record is from RNAcentral.